UGUUCGCGCCAAUCACAGUGAGACCCGUUAGGGGCGGGGAUCCCCUCCCGGCCGCACCGCCUCUCUCAGGGGGAGCGGGGUCGGGGUGGGAUGUUGUCGCCAGCCCCGGGGUGAUGCGUGGGCGAAGCGGGAUUGUGUCACUUACCCCCCCGGAGUGAACUAAUGGGCCGCGACUCAGCGAGUGCAGCCCCCGCGUUAUCCCGCCCGCCCGCGAGGUGCCGUUUCGUCACAACAUGGCGGGCGCUGCCGCCUCACAGCCCGCCCAGGCUGUGACGGCGCUGUCGCGGGUCGCAGGGCCGGGGAGAUCGCGGGUGAAGAGCUGCUGGUGUGGUGCAGAAUUACCUGUGCUUAAGGUGUAGGAAAAGCUUACCUUAUUUGAUCAGAUCUUGUGCAUUGAUUGGGCUGAUUCAGGAUCCUGUCUUCUAUACCACCCUGCCCCGGACACCAGAGAAAAAUCUCUACCUUACACUAAAACAAUGGGAUUAUUCUGAGCCUUUCCUGUUUCAGCAAAAGAACUUACUUCUAUCUCCUCUUUUACUCAUUUAUUUGAACCAUUAUUUUUCGUUAGCUGAUUCUGUUUUAUAAAGAUUCUUACAAUGACUGUACUGGAAUGUGCAGAAUGACAUUAAACACAUUAGUGUUUAGGGUAGCCUAAGAAUACACCAAAUAUCUUGAGUAAUAGCUGUUACAAGCAUCAUAUAUUCCUUUUUAGCCAUUCUUCAAGACACACAAUUUAAUUUUCUGUUACUGAUUCUGCUUUUCCUUGCAGAGUGGAAAUUGUGGUGAUGACAUGGACAAUAUUUACAUGACUACUUCCCUCAAAGUGCUGUCCAGAAUUGAUAAAGGCUCAAGAGUGGACUUUGAUUUCUGGAAA
Molecule: long non-coding RNA, 874 nt
Organism: Neopelma chrysocephalum (saffron-crested tyrant-manakin)
Lineage: Eukaryota; Metazoa; Chordata; Aves; Passeriformes; Pipridae
Exons: 2
Source: RefSeq, a predicted model, not a curated record